Molecule: unclassified non-coding RNA, 250 nt
Filed under: plant metagenome
Description: partial contains small subunit ribosomal RNA, internal transcribed spacer 1, and 5.8S ribosomal RNA
Rfam family: 5.8S ribosomal RNA (bases 192-250)
Source: RNAcentral
GUAGGUGAACCUGCGGAAGGAUCAUUAUUGAAUUAUUAGGUGAGGGUUGUCGCUGGCCUCUCGGGGCAUGUGCACGCCCGAGCCAUCCCCCAACAAACACCGUGGGCCUUCGGGCCCGCGUAUAUUUACUCUGAAUGUGUAUAGAAUGUAAACCGUUCGUUUGCCCUGAAAAAGCAAACGAAAAAAAGUACAACUUUCAACAACGGAUCUCUUGGCUCUCGCAUCGAUGAAGAACGCAGCAUCUGACUGA